RNAcentral lists this ribosomal RNA (389 nucleotides) under uncultured bacterium. Its description in RNAcentral is "bacterial SSU rRNA". It matches the Rfam family "Bacterial small subunit ribosomal RNA", at positions 28 to 417 of the family's 1533-position model. The record is from RNAcentral.
GACGAACGCUGGCGGCGUGCUUAACACAUGCAAGUCGAGCGGUAAGGCCCUUUCGGGGGUACACGAGCGGCGAACGGGUGAGUAACACGUGGGUGACCUGCCCUUAGCUCUGGGAUAAGCCUGGGAAACUGGGUCUAAUACCGGAUAUGACUCCAUGACGCAUGUUGUGGGGUGGAAAGCCUUGUGCGGCUAGGGGAUGGGCCCGCGGCCUAUCAGCUUGUUGGUGGGGUGAUGGCCUACCAAGGCGACGACGGGUAGCCGGCCUGAGAGGGCGACCGGCCACACUGGGACUGAGACACGGCCCAGACUCCUACGGGAGGCAGCAGUGGGGAAUCUUGGACAAUGGGCGCAAGCCUGAUCCAGCCAUGCCGCGUGAGUGAAGAAGGCCU